Xenia sp. Carnegie-2017 is the source of this 1029-nucleotide long non-coding RNA. RefSeq lists it as uncharacterized. The transcript is spliced from 2 exons. Lineage: Eukaryota; Metazoa; Cnidaria; Anthozoa; Malacalcyonacea; Xeniidae. The record is from RefSeq and is a predicted model, not a curated record.
UUUAUCUAGCGCAUAUACAGCUGGCACCGCCAAUAUUUGCGAUCAUUUUUCUCACUGCAAUGACAAAACAUUCACAUACGCAAUAUUUGUUGCAUUUCCAAGUGAACCGGACGCUCUAAAACGACCAAUGACCCCUUUCGAAGACAUUUCAGGCGUGCAAAUAGUCUUGUGGAUAGCCUUGUGUAUGCGUGUUUCCUUUUCAAGCAAAGGUAUUGUUUGCGAACUUUGCGCGUCAAACUGGGGCCAUUUCCCUUUGACAUUGACGUAGCAAAUGUAUAAGAAUAGUGCACUCGGCAUUUGGGUAUCACUUGAAAUCAACUAUAAACACGAAACUUACAGCACUAAGAGAGGAAAGCUACUACGAAAGAAAUUAUUCGUUCUUUAAACAAUAAAAGAACUUUAAUCAUAAGGUUGAGCUUCAUUCCUGCAGAAAAAAGAAGAUAUAAUACAACGUUGAAAACUAGUUUGAUAACAGUAUACAAUAAAGCAACUAUAAUUGAGGAGGAUUACAAAUUUGAGGAAAAACUAUAAAAAAAAACAAACGAAAAGCUCGUUGCAUAGGAAGACACCGCAUUAAAAGACAAUCCCGCGAAAAAAUGGAAGAACAACAUGGAGAACAGAACAUUGAAGAAUUAACAGCACAACAACAACGUUUGGCAAUCAUUGCUAAGACACUGCAAACAAUCGGAGAUGAUCUCGACAAAAACAUCAGAACAAGAAAACAUUUCAACUACGGUAGCUGGACAACUAUAAUAACUGCGGUGUUUGUCAUUACCACGAACUGUUUUUCAUCCAACGAAUCUACAAUUUCCGAGUAUUUAUGAAAAAUGGUGCCAGCACGCUGACUGAUAAAAGUGAAUGAAUGUAAAAUCGUGAACUCGUACACUACAUCAAAAAUCCCAUGCAUUCACAAUGAGUCUUAGCUUAAUUUUAUACGUAUUUAUAAUAUAUAGUAACGUAACAUAUUUAUGUGUGAAGAUGUAAAUAAAGCAAAAAACAAUUCAAAAUAUGAAUCGAUCUAUGCCUCAA